Non-coding RNA from Arachis ipaensis, 829 nucleotides. NCBI's taxonomy places the organism in Eukaryota, Viridiplantae, Streptophyta, Magnoliopsida, Fabales, Fabaceae. The record is from RefSeq and is a predicted model, not a curated record.
ACCAACAGUUUCGAUGAGUUUGGACGAUAUUGAGCUUGCAAUUACAGCAUACUUGUAUGGUGAUAUAUUGGUAGAUAAGUAAGUAGAUUUAAUAGGCAUAUCAUUUUUUAACGGCGUUGUGAAUUUUUUUAGCUAUUUUUAUUUACGUUAAUUUAUCUUUGGCAACGAUGAGGAGGAUAUAGUGUUUUCAGAUCAUACAGCUCAUAGAGAUGUAUUCAGGAGUUUGAUUCCAGGCAAGCCAAUUGUUUCUCUUGUGCUAGACUUAGUAGCAGAUAUGAUGAAGAUAGAGUUGACCAGAGAAAGUAGUUAUUGGUUUUUACCUACAGUUUUUGCGUUGUCAGAGAAGACAAAAAUGGAUCCCAACUGUCUGCCGUCUUGCAUCACAGAUAUUUAUUUGGGCAAAGUGGACUGCUUAAAAAGAGUGUUUAUCCCUGUAUCUGAGACUAUUGAUGAAGGUCAUCAACACUGGUACCUGGUAGUGAUCGAUCGUGUUAAAGGACACAUCAUUUUGCUAGACCCGUUGCCCACUGAGAAAUAGUUCAAGCGAAAGAGGACAGCCUUGAAAUUAGCCAUUUUUUUAGACGAAGUAGUAGAAGACCGUCCAUUCUAUGACUUUGAGACUACUCCGAAUCUGAAUUCUUCACAAUUUGAAUUAGAAGAACCGGAGGGCCUUCCCACCCUCGAACAUGGAUCGUAAGAUAAUAUUAAUAGUAGUUAUUGGUAUGAAAGUUAUGCAUUAUAUAGCACUCUAAUAUAUCUUGCUCGAUAUUUAGUAAUGACGCGGGUGUGUGGGUUGCAAGUUGGAUGAUAGCUUGUUUUGAAGAUGAUC